CCCACCUCAGGAUGGUACCUGGAGAGUUUCCAGUACUCUACCAGUCUUGGAUAUGGGACGGAAAGUCGAGCAGAGGCAUACCCAUUCCAUUCCCUGCUUGGGCAGUGGCUAGUGAGUGGAAAGCAAUCUGCUACAAGU
This is a small nucleolar RNA of Tachyglossus aculeatus (Australian echidna), 138 nucleotides long. NCBI's taxonomy places the organism in Eukaryota, Metazoa, Chordata, Mammalia, Monotremata, Tachyglossidae. The record is from RefSeq and is a predicted model, not a curated record.